This 74-nucleotide transfer RNA is filed under the name Bacillota bacterium. RNAcentral's name for it is "tRNA-Gly". It matches the Rfam family "tRNA". From Rfam's summary of the family: Transfer RNA (tRNA) molecules are approximately 80 nucleotides in length. Their secondary structure includes four short double-helical elements and three loops (D, anti-codon, and T loops). The record is from RNAcentral. Lineage: Bacteria; Bacillati; Bacillota.
GCAUCCGUAGUUCAGUGGCAGAACAUUAGCUUCCCAAGCUAACUAUACGGGUUCGAUUCCCGCCGGGUGCUCCA